RNAcentral lists this ribosomal RNA (498 nucleotides) under bacterium. RNAcentral describes it as "bacterial SSU rRNA". It matches the Rfam family "Bacterial small subunit ribosomal RNA", at positions 161 to 653 of the family's 1533-position model. The record is from RNAcentral.
CGCUAAUACCGCAUACGUCCUGAGGGAGAAAGUGGGGGAUCUUCGGACCUCACGCUAUCAGAUGAGCCUAGGUCGGAUUAGCUAGUUGGUGGGGUAAAGGCCUACCAAGGCGACGAUCCGUAACUGGUCUGAGAGGAUGAUCAGUCACACUGGAACUGAGACACGGUCCAGACUCCUACGGGAGGCAGCAGUGGGGAAUAUUGGACAAUGGGCGAAAGCCUGAUCCAGCCAUGCCGCGUGUGUGAAGAAGGUCUUCGGAUUGUAAAGCACUUUAAGUUGGGAGGAAGGGCAGUAAGUUAAUACCUUGCUGUUUUGACGUUACCAACAGAAUAAGCACCGGCUAACUUCGUGCCAGCAGCCGCGGUAAUACGAAGGGUGCAAGCGUUAAUCGGAAUUACUGGGCGUAAAGCGCGCGUAGGUGGUUCAGCAAGUUGGAUGUGAAAUCCCCGGGCUCAACCUGGGAACUGCAUCCAAAAACUACUGAGCUAGAGUACGGUA